CGUAAGCGUGCGUAGGUGGCUGAACAAGUCCGUUGGGAAAUCUGUCCGCUUAACGGGCAGGCGUCCAGCGGAAACUGUUCAGCUUGGGACCGGAAGACCUGAGGGGUACGUCUGGGGUAGGAGUGAAAUCCUGUAAUCCUGGACGGACCGCCGGUGGCGAAAGCGCCUCAGGAGAACGGAUCCGACAGUGAGGGACGAAAGCUAGGGUCUCGAACCGGAUUAAAUACCCGGGUAGUCCUAGCUGUAAACGAUGUCCGCUAGGUGUGGCGCAGGCUACCAGCCUGCGCUGUGCCGUAGGGAAGCCGAGAAGCGGACCGCCUGGGAAGUACCUCUGCAAGGAUGAAACUCAAAGGAAUUGACGG
This 362-nucleotide ribosomal RNA is filed under the name bacterium enrichment culture clone CBIC8EC1. RNAcentral's name for it is "bacterial SSU rRNA". It matches the Rfam family "Archaeal small subunit ribosomal RNA", at positions 510 to 871 of the family's 1478-position model. The record is from RNAcentral.